RNAcentral lists this ribosomal RNA (756 nucleotides) under Niphargus caspary. RNAcentral describes it as "Niphargopsis caspary partial 28S ribosomal RNA". It matches the Rfam family "Eukaryotic large subunit ribosomal RNA", at positions 374 to 796 of the family's 3401-position model. Lineage: Eukaryota; Metazoa; Arthropoda; Malacostraca; Amphipoda; Niphargidae. The record is from RNAcentral.
CUCUGAAGAGAGAGUCAAAGACCGUGAAACCGCUCAGAGUAUAAGCCAAUGGAGCUUGGAAGGCUUCCGCAGAUGGUGUCCAUCAUACGUGGUGUUCUUAAGACCUUGAGUGUGGCUCGUCAGGCGACAGCAUUGAGUUUGCCCGGUAGCUGUCGUGCGGGGGUACGGUGUGGAGGGCUGAGGCUUCGGCCGAAGUGCUUCCAGCUGUCCCUUUUGAAUGGACGUUCAGAGCUCUUGUGUCUAAUGCGGUUAUGCCCACCACAGCACGUUGUGAGGUCACCCACAGGCUCAAACUGCCGAUCGCGCAUCCAGGACGAUGGCAACGAUGCGUUGUUGACGAUGGCUCCAGAGAGAGACUUCGCUCACACGCGUGUCUAGUCCUGGGUCGGGCGGCGACCGAGAUAAACCUGGUAUGAUCCUCUUGCGACGAGCUGCUUUCUGGCCAGACCGACGCCCGGACGCCUCCACUGUGCCGGAAGCGUCAACCCCAGGCGGUGUGAACCCAGCUGCAUUAUGCAAGGUCUCUCAGCCGGGCGUUGGUCUGAGUGGUGUUAAGUCCAGCACCAUCGGUCACGUCUCGAAACACGGGCCAAGGAGUAUAGCAUGUGUGCAAGUCUAAGGGUCUCACAAAACCCGAAGGCGAAGUGAAAGCAAGACUGUGGCGGGGGAGCUACGGCAAACCCGCCGGCCUAGUGACGCUCGGUUGCUGGCUUUUAGCAGAGCUGAUCCUGUUUUACUCGGUUAAUUCUUGGUGCA